ACGAACGCUGGCGGCGUGCCUAAUACAUGCAAGUCGAGCGAAGUUUUUCUGGUGCUUGCACUAGAAAAACUUAGCGGCGAACGGGUGAGUAACACGCAAAGAACCUGCCUCAUAGACUGGGACAACUAUUGGAAACGAUAGCUAAUACCGGAUAACAGCAUUAACUGCAUGGUUGAUGUUUAAAAGUUGGUUUUGCUAACACUAUGAGAUGGCUUUGCGGUGCAUUAGCUAGUUGGUGGGGUAAAGGCCUACCAAGGCGACGAUGCAUAGCCGACCUGAGAGGGUGAUCGGCCACACUGGGACUGAGACACGGCCCAGACUCCUACGGGAGGCAGCAGUAGGGAAUCUUCCGCAAUGGGCGAAAGCCUGACGGAGCAACGCCGCGUGAGUGAAGAAGGAUUUCGGUUCGUAAAGCUCUGCUGUUAGGGAAGAAUGAUUGUGUAGUAACUAUACACAGUAGAGACGGUACCUAACCAGAAAGCCACGGCUAACUACGUG
Molecule: ribosomal RNA, 498 nt
Filed under: uncultured bacterium
Lineage: Bacteria
Description: partial 16S ribosomal RNA
Rfam family: Bacterial small subunit ribosomal RNA
Source: RNAcentral